This is a non-coding RNA of Caenorhabditis elegans, 150 nucleotides long. NCBI's taxonomy places the organism in Eukaryota, Metazoa, Nematoda, Chromadorea, Rhabditida, Rhabditidae. The record is from Ensembl.
GGCACAAGUCUCCAAAGCAGCAGUCUUCAUGUCUUGAACAAUAGCUGCUGGAGUAGCUGUGGCGGUUGUGUAGCAGUUCAAUGGUCGUUCAGCAUCGGUUCCAGCUGAUGGGUAUCCGGCAGUGGUGUCUGGAGCAGCGUAGAGAGCUUG